This 242-nucleotide long non-coding RNA is filed under the name Lathyrus oleraceus (garden pea). RNAcentral's name for it is "Pisum sativum (pea) long non-coding RNA (PSAT_LNC015000)". Lineage: Eukaryota; Viridiplantae; Streptophyta; Magnoliopsida; Fabales; Fabaceae. The record is from RNAcentral.
UUAACCUUUAGAUAAUCAGAACUCUGCCCUUGCCUUAGAAUUCCUAGCAAUUGAAUCUUUAACCUUCAAUAAUGGUGAAUUCUCCUCUGAGCUCUAGCCCGUCUUCUCUUUUUCUCAUUUUUUCUCUUUUCUCCUAAUUGUUACGUUCUCUGUGUUUCUAUCUCAUUAUUCUCUUUUCUAUUUUUACUAUAACUUCUAUUAUUUUAUGAACUUAUUACUAUUAUCACUAAUUUUUUAAUAAU